GUAGGGAAUAUUGGGCAAUGGUCGGAAGACUGACCCAGCCAUGCCGCGUGCAGGAAGAAGGCCUUCGGGUUGUAAACUGCUUUUGUACGGAACGAAACGGUCCGGGUUAAUACCCUGGGCUAAUGACGGUACCGUAAGAAUAAGCACCGGCUAACUACGUGCCAGCAGCCGCGGUAAUACGUAGGGUGCAAGCGUUAAUCGGAAUUACUGGGCGUAAAGCGUGCGCAGGCGGUUUUGUAAGACAGUGGUGAAAUCCCCGGGCUCAACCUGGGAACUGCCAUUGUGACUGCAAGGCUAGAGUGCGGCAGAGGGGGAUGGAAUUCCGCGUGUAGCAGUGAAAUGCGUAGAUAUGCGGAGGAACACCGAUGGCGAAGGCAAUCCCCUGGGCCUGCACUGACGCUCAUGCACGAAAGCGUGGGGAGCAAACAGGAUUAGAUACCCGAGUAGUCC
RNAcentral lists this ribosomal RNA (450 nucleotides) under uncultured bacterium. RNAcentral's name for it is "partial 16S ribosomal RNA". It matches the Rfam family "Bacterial small subunit ribosomal RNA", at positions 354 to 796 of the family's 1533-position model. The record is from RNAcentral.